RNAcentral lists this ribosomal RNA (484 nucleotides) under uncultured bacterium. RNAcentral describes it as "partial 16S ribosomal RNA". It matches the Rfam family "Bacterial small subunit ribosomal RNA", at positions 30 to 507 of the family's 1533-position model. The record is from RNAcentral.
AUUGAGCGCUGGCGGCAGGCCUAACACAUGCAAGUCGAGCGGAUGAAGGGAGCUUGCUCCUGGAUUCAGCGGCGGACGGGUGAGUAAUGCCUAGGAAUCUGCCUGGUAGUGGGGGAUAACGUCCGGAAACGGGCGCUAAUACCGCAUACGUCCUGAGGGAGAAGGUGGGGGAUCUUCGGACCUCACGCUAUCAGAUGAGCCUAGGUCGGAUUAGCUAGUUGGUGGGGUAAAGGCCUACCAAGGCGACGAUCCGUAACUGGUCUGAGAGGAUGAUCAGUCACACUGGAACUGAGACACGGUCCAGACUCCUACGGGAGGCAGCAGUGGGGAAUAUUGGACAAUGGGCGAAAGCCUGAUCCAGCCAUGCCGCGUGUGUGAAGAAGGUCUUCGGAUUGUAAAGCACUUUAAGUUGGGAGGAAGGGCAGUAAGUUAAUACCUUGCUGUUUUGACGUUACCAACAGAAUAAGCACCGGCUAACUUCGUG